CAAUAUAAGUGAUGGCGACCGGCGCACGGGUGAGUAACACGUAUCCAACCUGCCGAUAACUCGGGGAUAGCCUUUCGAAAGAAAGAUUAAUACCCGAUGGUAUAAUAAAGCCGCAUGGUUUAAUUAUUAAAGAAUUUCGGUUAUCGAUGGGGAUGCGUUCCAUUAGGCAGUUGGUGGGGUAACGGCCCACCAAACCUUCGAUGGAUAGGGGUUCUGAGAGGAAGGUCCCCCACAUUGGAACUGAGACACGGUCCAA
This 256-nucleotide ribosomal RNA is filed under the name uncultured bacterium. RNAcentral describes it as "partial 16S ribosomal RNA". It matches the Rfam family "Bacterial small subunit ribosomal RNA", at positions 74 to 334 of the family's 1533-position model. The record is from RNAcentral.